UACCCCGAGGAAAAGAAAUCAACCGAGAUUCCCCCAGUAGCGGCGAGCGAACGGGGAGGAGCCCAGAGCCUGAAUCAGCAUGUGUGUUAGUGGAAGCGUCUGGAAAGGCGCGCGAUACAGGGUGACAGCCCCGUACACAAAAGCGCAUGUGCUGUGAGCUCGAUGAGUAGGGCGGGACACGUGGUAUCCUGUCUGAAUAUGGGGGGACCAUCCUCCAAGGCUAAAUACUCCUGACUGACCGAUAGUGAACCAGUACCGUGAGGGAAAGGCGAAAAGAACCCCGGCGAGGGGAGUGAAAAAGAACCUGAAACCGUGU
This 316-nucleotide ribosomal RNA is filed under the name Salmonella enterica subsp. enterica serovar Enteritidis. RNAcentral describes it as "partial 23S ribosomal RNA". It matches the Rfam family "Bacterial large subunit ribosomal RNA", at positions 207 to 561 of the family's 2925-position model. The record is from RNAcentral. Lineage: Bacteria; Pseudomonadati; Pseudomonadota; Gammaproteobacteria; Enterobacterales; Enterobacteriaceae.